UACGUUCCCGGGCCUUGUACACACCGCCCGUCACACCACGAAAGUCGGCAACACCCGAAGCCGGUGGCCUAACCCGCAAGGGAGGGAACCGUCGAAGGUGGGGUUGAUGAUUGGGGUG
Molecule: ribosomal RNA, 118 nt
Filed under: uncultured bacterium
Lineage: Bacteria
Description: partial 16S ribosomal RNA
Rfam family: Bacterial small subunit ribosomal RNA
Source: RNAcentral